GCCCGCGCGCGCCGCCUCACGGGCGCGCUCCCGCCCGCCCUUCCCGCCCCUCAGGGCGCGGCCCCUCCGGCGCCCUCGCCCCGCUCCGCCCCGACCCCCCGGCGGCGGCUCUCCUGAGGUACUGGAAGGCACCUGGAGUGUUUAUGGCCCCAGUUCCAGGUGAGAUGCACCACUAACAUCUGGCUCUACCUCCCCAGCAUGUCCUGUUCAGGAUGCUCCAGGUUUGACUGCUCAGGUCCUGCUGAGUUUUCAGAAUUGUUAAAGCUCAGACCACAUCCCUUGCCAAGUUUAAUGGGAGCAGACACCCCUGGGAACAGAGGAUGUCUCAUGGCAGGCACUGCAGUGCCACACUGAGCUGCCAGAUCCACACUCCAGCCCUGAAAGCACAUUCCAGAAUCAUCCAGCUUGGAAAAGACCUCCCAGAGCAUCGAAUCCAAGCUGGGAUCAAUCCCAUUUCCAGCAGGUGCCAUGUGCACUCAUUCCUUGGUCAACCAGAGAUGGGACUGCCCCAGUUCCCAGCCCCUUCCAGUGCCUGAGCACCUUUUCCAUGGCUGCUCUGGGAUCCUGGUGUUUCUCUGGGGCUGCACAGCUGCCCUGCUCUCUGUGCCACACAAAACCAGGAGUCCAUCAGAGUCUGGGGUGUCUCUCUGAGCUGCACUCUGUGUUUGGGAUAAAUAAAAGUAAGGAAAGGCAGAUCCAGUGGGUUUUGUUGAGAAUGGUCAGUGCCAGGUCUGGGAAACCUGUGUGAAACACAGCCCAGUUCAGAGUUCUCCUCUUAAUUUCAGUCAUCUCUACUCUCCUUCCUGAGCAAAACAUAUUUAGCACUGAAAUGAAGCAGCAUUUUGGAUGUUUAUAUCUUGUUUAGCAAAUCAAUUUACAAUUCCCCAUUUCCCUGUUUGGCCCUGCUGUUCUCUCCAGAGGUACUGGGAUCCCUGGAGUCAGGAGGUGGCAAAUCCAUUAGUUCUGCUUUUCCUGGAGCACAGCUGUUCCAGCUUGCUGCUUUUUGCCUGUCUGAGAUCUCCUUAGGCUCAGGGGCUGAUUUACUGCCCCAUGUGCUCCCUGUGCUAUUUCUCCACUGGGAAUUUGUACCCUCCCACUGCUCAGAGUUUACCUGUCUGGAGCUGCUGCUUUUCCCUAGUUACAGACAAGGACAGCAUCCUCCUCACAUGGGAGAGAGAAUAUUUUUAUAACUUUCUAUACCAUAAAAAUUCUUUUUAUAACAGACUUUUCUAUGAGAGAGAGACCUUUGGACCAACAGAUCAUGACAGUGCUGUUAGUCACUUGUGAGCAUUGCUUUUUCCUUGUAUUUAUGAAAGAGGCAACUUUUAACCCUGUUUUUAACUGUGAUUAUGAUUUGCUUUUUAACUGUGACUCUGUUUUUCAGCAAAGCUGUGGUUUAUUUAAACCAGCCUCGUGGUCUUGCAAAGCUUAGACAGUAACUUGAGAUGUCACAGUGAGCACACACAGUGAUCAAAAUUAUGGAGCAACUGCUCUGUGAGGAGAGAUUGAAUUCUUUAGG
Molecule: long non-coding RNA, 1519 nt
Organism: Oenanthe melanoleuca
Lineage: Eukaryota; Metazoa; Chordata; Aves; Passeriformes; Muscicapidae
Exons: 4
Source: RefSeq, a predicted model, not a curated record